This 514-nucleotide ribosomal RNA is filed under the name Salmonella enterica. Its description in RNAcentral is "partial 23S ribosomal RNA". It matches the Rfam family "Bacterial large subunit ribosomal RNA", at positions 678 to 1190 of the family's 2925-position model. The record is from RNAcentral. RNAcentral also lists the same sequence under 5 other names. Lineage: Bacteria; Pseudomonadati; Pseudomonadota; Gammaproteobacteria; Enterobacterales; Enterobacteriaceae.
CGAGUCUUAACCGGGCGUUAAGUUGCAGGGUAUAGACCCGAAACCCGGUGAUCUAGCCAUGGGCAGGUUGAAGGUUGGGUAACACUAACUGGAGGACCGAACCGACUAAUGUUGAAAAAUUAGCGGAUGACCUGUGGCUGGGGGUGAAAGGCCAAUCAAACCGGGAGAUAGCUGGUUCUCCCCGAAAGCUAUUUAGGUAGCGCCUCGUGAAUUCAUCUCCGGGGGUAGAGCACUGUUUCGGCUAGGGGGCCAUCCCGGCUUACCAACCCGAUGCAAACUGCGAAUACCGGAGAAUGUUAUCACGGGAGACACACGGCGGGUGCUAACGUCCGUCGUGAAGAGGGAAACAACCCAGACCGCCAGCUAAGGUCCCAAAGUCAUGGUUAAGUGGGAAACGAUGUGGGAAGGCCCAGACAGCCAGGAUGUUGGCUUAGAAGCAGCCAUCAUUUAAAGAAAGCGUAAUAGCUCACUGGUCGAGUCGGCCUGCGCGGAAGAUGUAACGGGGCUAAACCAU